CAACAACUCAAGUCUUUUAGCCACAUUGAUGGAAAAAUCCAGAUGGUCCUCACUAGCUAGUUUCAAUCUCUAUUAAGAGUUCUACAUCUGUUAUCACACUUCCAUGUUUUGAGCUUAUUCGUCUAGAGCAUGGACCAUUAACCAUGUGAUCGAUCACAUGGCCAAGGCCUAAUAUUUUGUUUCUUUCGGGUUUCAUUCUUUGCUCAUUACAUUUAAUUAAUCCAUAGAGCCGGAGCAAACUAUUCCUACCCUUCAACGUGAGCUAAAAUACGAGCAACUUCAAGUUAAAGUACAUACCUCACUAAUAUACAGAUUACGUGUAACAAUAAAAUGUUUUGUGUACAUGAGAAAAUAGUCGAUCAUAAUAUACUCAAAUGAUGUCUUUUCAUUACAUGAAUAACUGAAUCAAUUGCCAAGAGCCCAUAUGAGAUUGCGCUCGCCCUCGUCCCUUCCGCAAAGCAAAGGUGGGAUAAAAGUGUAACUCCUUUUGUGUCAUGGGUUACCUUCUAUCUUCCUCUCCCGUGACUCUCCCAAAGCGAUCGGACAUGGGGAGGGAGCAGGGGAAGUAUGUCGUUCGUAAUGGAAAGAAAGAUACAGUACUUCGCCUCUUUGUUGGACUGUCGAGUGACAACUGAAGAAAAUGAAAGGGCAGCGGAAGAUGAAGCGAUUGGGGAAUCUUCAUCACCAGAUGGACCAGUAUCACUCCCACACAUGUAGUGUUCGUGAUCUGCCUUUUCGACUAUGAAUUGAUCGAAAGGUACGGCAGCACAGCCCCCAACCAAG
This 783-nucleotide long non-coding RNA is filed under the name Olea europaea subsp. europaea. Lineage: Eukaryota; Viridiplantae; Streptophyta; Magnoliopsida; Lamiales; Oleaceae. The record is from RNAcentral.